CUGUCAAAAUGGUUGUUUAUCUUUGGGACCGUGUUUUUUGUUAAAAUAAAUAGAUUUCACUAAGAAAAACAGCAAUAAUACUCAAUUAAAACACUAUGGCUGAGCAAGAAGAAACUUAUUGUCGACUGUGUGCCGAGCCCACGCCGAAAGAUCAGCUAAUAUAUGCAGACGAGGACGUAGCCAUCAACUCCAAGAUUGCUACAAAAAUGCUGUGGAUAAAUAUUGAUAUUUCUAACGCUAAUACCUUACCAACAACGAUAUGCUUCUCAUGUUUCGACCUACUAGAACGCACUUGGUCGUUCCUUCACACUGUUAGAAGCGCACAGGAGAAAUUAACGUCAAUAUUUCUGCCGAAAGUUAGUAAGGAAACCGACGAUACGUCUUCAGAUGUGAAGACUGAGAAUAAGUCUUCAGCCGGUAAACCGGUUGACAAGAACUGGCAAGAGUUUCAAGCUACGAAAACCGAAGAUCCUGCCAUCAAAAUUGACCCUGAAAACUUAGAAGUCGUGGGCACUGUUGAUCCAAAUACCCUAAUAGACAAUAUUACUGUCAAGGCUGAACAAGUGAGCGACAAUGAUUACCAUGUCAACGACUCUGAUGGCUUCAACACAACGGACAGCGACAUCCCGUUACUUCGUUCUGUGAAAAAGCGAAAGGUGAAAAAAAAGAAAAGGAUUAAAUAUGACAUUGAAGUUACGGUUGAUGACUUGUUAAAGGCUGAAGUGGAUGCUGAACCGUUGCCUUUAUCAUCGCAGAAUAUGACAUGGGAGGACUACAUGUGCCACUGCGCAAGCUGUGAUGCCUUUUGUAAGAAUAUCCAAUCUUUACGGCUACAUUCUUUACAAAUACAUACUCGUUGUUGUGUUUUUAAAUGCUCAGACUGUGGCAAGGUUAUUGCUAACUUUAAAAACUUUGUAAAUCAUGUACGUACACAUAAGAACAUUCUUCGUUACUGCUGUGAGUAUUGUAAUAAGCAGUUCACUUUAACGGCCCUUGUAAAGAAACAUCUUAACACCGUUCAUGGUAAUGUUUACUUAACAACUUGUCAAAACUGUGGAGCUGCAUUUGAUUCCGAAGAGCUGUUGCAAGAUCAUUUGUUAUUAUAUUCUAAAGGCUUAAAAAAGAGUAGGAAAAAAGAUAACUUUGACGAGUGUGACUUGAAAUGUAACGAGUGUGGUAAAGAAUUUAAGUCUAAAAGCAAUUUGCAACAACACAAAUUGGUGCACACACAACGGAGCAGGGACUUUUCUUGUCAUAUCUGUGGUAAGAUGUUCUUUACAAAAGGCACUUUAAGCACACAUAUGAGCACGCACGAAGACACAAAACCAUUUAAAUGUGAAUAUUGUCCGAUGGCGUUUCGUGCCCGUGGUAACUUACAAUCUCAUAUAAGUCUACACUCCGGUGCGAAGCCUUUUGUCUGCGAGCAAUGUGGGAAAUCAUUCCGGGUCAAACGCCACUUGAAGUCCCAUUCCAUAGUCCAUACAGACUUAAUGCCUUAUGUAUGUGAAUAUUGUACUAAAUCUUUCCGUUUUAAAACUAGAUUAAACUUGCAUUUAAGACAACAUACAGGUGCUAAGCCGUAUAACUGUGUUUAUUGUCAAAGAGAUUUUACUAACGGAUCUAACUUUAAGAAACAUAUGAAGAGACGUCAUAAUGUGGAUACGUCUAAAAAAAGAUAUAAUAAUAUUGUUGUAGAUAAUAACCAAGAAGGGACAGAGAGUGUAUAAAAUAAUACUCAUUAUUUAUAACAUAACAUAAGCUCACAACUAUAUCCCAAUUGGGGUGGUCAGAGGUACAUCCAUCGCAAGAUGAACUAAGUACCCACGCCUCACCGAGCUUUCUGUUAGACCAACGUGAUAGGUGAGCCGUAUCGCCGUCUGUAAUGGUCGAGAUAAUUUUGUUAGUGAAAUAUACACGCGUUAUACGUUUCACG
RNAcentral lists this unclassified non-coding RNA (1933 nucleotides) under Pectinophora gossypiella (pink bollworm). RNAcentral's name for it is "gastrula zinc finger protein XlCGF26.1-like". The record is from RNAcentral. Lineage: Eukaryota; Metazoa; Arthropoda; Insecta; Lepidoptera; Gelechiidae.